This 813-nucleotide long non-coding RNA is filed under the name Homo sapiens (human). Its description in RNAcentral is "HSALNT0283405". The record is from RNAcentral. Lineage: Eukaryota; Metazoa; Chordata; Mammalia; Primates; Hominidae.
GCAGCCAAAAUGGCUUCCAACGCUCAGCCUGAGCCGCCGGACUUCACGCCAUGCUCUACUGACGUCGGCUGACGGCCAUUGGCUUCACACCCAGGCCUGGGCAUGGCCACGCCCCCUCGGCCCCCUCCUGGCAGCUUGCACUGCGCCUGGUGUUCAGCGCAAUCCUAUGACCACUCGAGUGGGGUCAUGGGGUGGAGAGAGGGAUGGCCACUGACCGUGUCAGAGGGAAGUUGGGGUCAGCGUAUGGGGAAAAGCACGGGCUAAGUGUAGUGUAAUCACAGCAAAGGGGUGGAGGUGGGGAAGAUUGUUCUCAGUAGUUCCGUGACCCUCCAGGAAGAGGAAAUAGGCAAGAGAUCGCUAGGCACAUCUGAACAAACUGAUUUAUUAGAGUGUUACAGUGGGGGCUCCCACACAGACGGGCACCAGAGCGAGGUGCUCAGCUCCCCUCAUCUCCCUCAGCCUCCACAGCCUUCUGGCUCUCCUCCUCGCCUUUCCGCGUAAACUCCUCGAUGACUAUGUCCUCAGAGCUUGCAGAAGCAGCAGAAGAGAAUGGAAGGUUAGGAACCCCUUUCUGGGUGUCCUCCGUGUCCACUCUUUUUUCCUGAUCCCAGAAAAGUGAUCCCCUCCCUGCUUCCCAGGUAGGCUCCUCGGCCCCCUCUUGGUGUCCCCACUUUUCCAUCAGCCACUCUGGCUUGUUUCCUUUCAUUCCCGCCCAAAUUUCCCAGCACAAAAGUCCCCCAGGAGCACUGAAAGGGACAUAAGGAUGAGGGAUGGGAAGGAGGGAAGGUAUCAAAGAAUGAAAGACGAAAGAAG